CCUACGGGAGGCUGCAGUAGGGAAUCUUCGUCAAUGGGCGCAAGCCUGAACGAGCAAUGCCGCGUGAACGAGGAAGGUCCUCGGAUCGUAAAGUCCCGUUGAAGGGGAAACAGAGCGGAGAGAGGAAAUGCUUUCUGAUUGAUAUUACCCUUCGAGGAAGUCACGGCUAACUACGUGCCAGCAGCCGCGGUAAUAAGUAGGUGGCGUGCGUUAUCCGGAAUGAUUGGGCGUAAGGGGUGCGUAGGCGGACUGCUAAGUCUGGAGUUAAAGGUACGGGCUCAACCGGUACAGGCUCUGGAAACUGGCGGGCGAGAGAGCAGGAGAGGGAGGUGGAAUGCCAGGUGUAGCGGUAAAAUGCGUAGAUAUAUGGAAGAACACCAGUGGCGAAGGCGGCCGCCUGGCCUGUUACUGACGCUGAGGCACGAAAGCGUGGGGAGCAAAUAGGAUUAGAUACCCGAGUAGUC
This 464-nucleotide ribosomal RNA is filed under the name uncultured bacterium. Its description in RNAcentral is "partial 16S ribosomal RNA". It matches the Rfam family "Bacterial small subunit ribosomal RNA", at positions 338 to 795 of the family's 1533-position model. The record is from RNAcentral.